UACAGAGGUCCCCGAGCGUUGUUCGGAUUCAUUGGGCGUAAAGGGUGCGUAGGCGGCGGGGCAAGUCUGAUGUGAAAUCCCGGGGCUCAACCCCGGAACUGCAUUGGAUACUGCCUUGCUUGAGUACUGGAGAGGGAACUGGAAUUUACGGUGUAGCAGUGAAAUGCGUAGAGAUCGUAAGGAAGGCCAGUGGCGAAGGCGAGUUCCUGGACAGUUACUGACGCUGAGGCACGAAAGCUAGGGGAGCAAACAGG
This 254-nucleotide ribosomal RNA is filed under the name uncultured bacterium. Its description in RNAcentral is "partial 16S ribosomal RNA". It matches the Rfam family "Bacterial small subunit ribosomal RNA", at positions 524 to 776 of the family's 1533-position model. The record is from RNAcentral.